GAUGCGCAUUGCAUACACUGCUCGCAAUGUCUGAACACUACUCUGACUGCAGGACACAAGUUCGGAGGAUGCUGCAGGGCCCUCCCGCAGUGCACCAGCAACAACUGCGUUUGUGGUGUCGGGCCCUGCAGCUGUUGCUGGGCCAAGUGGCCUUACACAGCAACCGCCUACCCUCCAGCAGCCUACCCUCCAGCAGCCACCCUCCCAGCCGACCCCCCAGCCUACCCCACGAGAGCCGCAGGCACCCCCCCCCCCCCCCCCCCCCCCCCGUAGGCAGUCGAGGCAGCAGGUCCUCGAGGGCGCCGUCCAGAUGGCUACUGCCGAAUACGUUCGGCAGGGCUAGUCGGCGGAAGCCAGGGCGCAGGAGGAGGCCCGCUUCCGCCGACAAAUGCUGGAGCAAAACAAGCGGGUAUGUGUAAGGCCACAGACGUAUAUUUUUCUGCGUAUGAAAUUGACGAGCAUAUGACCUCUCCAAAAAUUAAUCAGUAAAAAAGCAUAAUGUAUGCAUACAGUGCUGUGGUGAUCAUAUCUUGUAUACAUUUGCGUGAAAUAAUAUGUGUCAAUAUCUACGCAAUUAUGUGGCAAAAAGAAAGAAGUGGCAUUAAGUUCAGGGAAGCAGGUAUAACCAUGUAAGACAUCUUAAUGGAAUGGGACUGUACAAAUUUGAUGGGCCAGAAAGAUAUAUUCAGUGUUUCAAUAUACAGUGACAAUAGCCUGCAAAUGCGGAUAAAUGCAACACACCAAGGCCUUGUUACUGAGCUUCUAUAAUUAAACUAAUUACACAUCUUAUUCGCUAACAGCACCACGAGGCCCAUAUGGACGUCCUGCGCCAGCAGCAUAGCAUUCAUAUGGAGGUCCUGCGGUAGCAACAUGCUGUCCACAUGGAGGGACUACAACAGCUGAGGGAGGAGGUCGGCAGCAUGCGCGACGUUCAGCAGCAGCGGCUGGCAGUGGAACGGCGCUCACAGGAGACGAACCAGCGUCUCCUGUAGCUGCUGCUGGCUGCACCAGCCCAUGGUGGCGGCCAAGUCCCUCCCCCCUCUCAGGACCCACAUAUUUAAAUAAGUGAGGUACUAGCAUAGGCAAGGAAUUUUACACCAUUUUUUUAUUAGCUUAAAUUUUGCUGUUGUAAUGAUGAUAUGAAGGCCGGAUAUUGCUAGUUUGCAAGAAAUAAUUGCUCAAGUCACCCUUUCAUGCAACCACAAGUAGCAUAGCUGUUGCAGCAUGAUUCUUUUUUGCUUGAAGUUGUACUUCAGUAAUAAGAGCCUCCACACUAUCACGCUCACCUGCAGAAGUGCCAGCAAGCCUGGUGGUACAUUAGUCUGACUGCGGCAUUGCAAUUAUCAGGUGCCUAGUUGUUGUCAUGUCAAGUUGAGCACGAAGCAACACUGCAAAUGUUCUACAAUUUAAUCCUGUGUCAUCAAAUGGUGACAGUUUCGCGCCUUAAUGUAAUGUCGAACGGAACCUCUGAAUAUGCGCAGCAAAAAGAAAAAGUUAUGAAAAUUCCUUGCCUAUGCGCCUUCACCUCAUUUGUAAUGUGUUUUUUUUUGCAUAUUUAUGUACAUAUUAUACAUGCUUUUUUUGGUAUACAGGGCUGGAAUGCCUUCUUUUCUUGUUUUUUGCUAUAACAUUUUGUUUCCAUUUACUUAUCUUUCAUGGUCGAUAUUUUUUUUUGUCGUGACAUACAAGGCUUAAUAUCUUCUUUUCUUGUUUUUUAUUACCACGUUUUGUUGUCAUUCAGUGUUCUUUCAUGGUUGUGAUACAUUGUACGUUUACCCCUCAUGUGCAAUAUUUAUGCAGUUUCCCUUAUUCAAUAUCAAAGCUAGAUGUUAUGGCUUUCUUUUCCAGUAUGGAACUCCACGACAGUAUGUUCCUUUCAGAUGUAGUGAUGUACCAACACAUUUCGCAGUGAUAAAUAUUCUUCUGUUGAUGCGUGAUUUAAGCACCUGCACCUUUUUUUCUGGUGCAUUUUAAGCCAGUUGAUAUUUCUGCAUAUUUGUGCAGCGUACAACACUUUCCUUAAACGAUACCUGCCGUUACCUGUGAUAUUUUAUGAUGCAGUUACCUGUGAAUCUUUCAGAUGCAAGAACAAUAUGAUGCAAUAUUUAUUGCAACUUGUCUGUGAUAUGUUGCAUACGUCUCUACUGCUGCAGUACUCACUAUUCUCGCACUUAUUCAAUGUAGAGACUGUCGCACGUGAUGUGUACAUAAACAAGUGUUACCAUAAAAAUGUCUCUAUGUUGAAGGGUGAAAUAAUACAGAAAGGUGCAGUGUUC
RNAcentral lists this long non-coding RNA (2276 nucleotides) under Dermacentor andersoni. Its description in RNAcentral is "uncharacterized LOC126547865". Lineage: Eukaryota; Metazoa; Arthropoda; Arachnida; Ixodida; Ixodidae. The record is from RNAcentral.